GGGUGAUUAGCUCAGUUGGUUUAGAGCACUACCUUGACAGGGUAGGGGUCGUUGGUUCGAAUCCAAUAUCACUCA
This 75-nucleotide transfer RNA is filed under the name Aureispira sp. Its description in RNAcentral is "tRNA-Val". It matches the Rfam family "tRNA". From Rfam's summary of the family: Transfer RNA (tRNA) molecules are approximately 80 nucleotides in length. Lineage: Bacteria; Pseudomonadati; Bacteroidota; Saprospiria; Saprospirales; Saprospiraceae. RNAcentral also lists the same sequence under 1 other name. The record is from RNAcentral.